CGACAGCUACGGAGGGAGCCGACCUCGUCGGACCUCAGAAUGGCGACAGAAGCAACCUCGCUCGCUGGUUUUCCGGUGACGGCGGCGGAGGCGAUUUCUGAUCCAGGAAAUUAGGGCUCACCUCCUUUCUACCUCGCAUCUGUGAAGUGAGAGGAGGGACGCCAGUUUUCAGGAGAUGAACGACGCCGCUCCCAGGCGGCGAUCUCUCGCCG
RNAcentral lists this long non-coding RNA (212 nucleotides) under Salvia miltiorrhiza (redroot sage). RNAcentral describes it as "long non-coding RNA (SMIL_LNC004393)". Lineage: Eukaryota; Viridiplantae; Streptophyta; Magnoliopsida; Lamiales; Lamiaceae. The record is from RNAcentral.